GGGCAGACACACUGAAGUCGCUAGACGUCUGAGGAACACAUCCGGGGAAGAAGACACAGGUGGCUGGUCAUCGAGAGCCCGCUGGGGGAAGAGCACACAGACAGGCACCGGCAGGCCAUUGACCAGCGGGACAAGGUGGGCUCAAUGUCAUCACAAGGGUGCUUAAGAGGGAAAGAGGAAGCCAUGAGGGUCAGAGUCAAAGGAAGACUUGAAGAUACUACACUGCGGACUUUACAGAUGAAGGAAGGGGCGAAAACCAAGAAUGUGGGAAGCCUCUAGAAGCUAGAGAAGGCAAGGAAACAAAUUUUCCACUAGAGCCUCCAGAAGGAACACAGCCCUGCUGACCCACUGUAAUGUCUGACCUCUAGAUGUGUAAGGGUAGUAAGACUGAAAGUCUCAGAAAGGCACUGUUACAUUCUUAUUCCACAACUAUGCAACUCGAAACUGGGGUCCUCAGCAGUGAGCGAGGGGUGAGAGAAGACACUGUAUAAACAUGGCACAUCCUCCUGGAAAGUCAACUUUACUCAAAGGUUCUUACACACAGUGACAGCUAGCAGAGUCUAAAAUGCUGACAUUAUGACUUAGAGAUGUGAUAAAGAGAAACAUCUACUGCAUUUUCUGUCUGGUUCCAGUGUCGUCUAUGGUGUGAUUCAUCUCCCAAUACCCCUGGGUGCAAUAAAACUGGUCCCUUCUUUGUACCCCGUAGCUCUUUGUUCCUCUCCUGGUACGUGAUGGCUGUUUGAGCAUCUUUUCACCCCUCCACACCAGGAACUCCUCAGUGAGUUCUUGAGAUUUAUGACCUAUUCACCUUUCCAGAAAAUUUGAUUCCUGUCUUCAAGGAGUUUCCAGUCUGGGCAAGGAAGCAGACAUAUAAACAUGGAAUUACGUUGCAAUUUGGAAAGUGAUGUAAAACAAUUAUCUAAAUUAGUGUACACAGAUGAGCACUAAUUUACUAAAGAAUCCUGCUUUUCUCAUAUAACAACUGAGCAGUCGGCAUGUAGGUGUAGUCUGUUUCUUAAAAUAGCAAUGUUUUCCCAGUCUUCAUAUCAAUAUUUAUGUUGUUACUCAUGCUCUGUUAAAACAAAACAAAAUAAAACAAAAUCUCUCAAA
This 1110-nucleotide long non-coding RNA is filed under the name Pan troglodytes (chimpanzee). Its description in RNAcentral is "lincRNA". Lineage: Eukaryota; Metazoa; Chordata; Mammalia; Primates; Hominidae. The record is from RNAcentral.